CCUACGGGCGGCAGCAGUGGGGAAUAUUGCACAAUGGGGGAAACCCUGAUGCAGCGACGCCGCGUGAGUGAAGAAGUAUUUCGGUACGUAAAGCUCUAUCAGCAGGGAAGAAAAUGACGGUACCUGACUAAGAAGCCCCGGCUCACUACGUGCCAGCAGCCGCGGUAAUACGUAGGGGGCAAGCGUUAUCCGGAUUUACUGGGUGUAAAGGGAGCGUAGACGGCAGUGCAAGUCUGGAGUGAAAUCCCAUGGCUUAACCAUGGAACUGCUUUGGAAACUGUGCAGCUAGAGUGCAGGAGAGGUAAGCGGAAUGCCUAGUGUAGCGGUGAAAUGCGUAGAUAUUAGGAGGAACACCAGUGGCGAAGGCGGCUUACUGGACUGUAACUGACGUUGAGGCUCGAAAGCGUGGGGAGCAAACAGGAUUAGAUACCCCUGUAGUC
RNAcentral lists this ribosomal RNA (440 nucleotides) under uncultured bacterium. RNAcentral describes it as "partial 16S ribosomal RNA". It matches the Rfam family "Bacterial small subunit ribosomal RNA", at positions 338 to 795 of the family's 1533-position model. The record is from RNAcentral.